RNAcentral lists this ribosomal RNA (468 nucleotides) under uncultured bacterium. Its description in RNAcentral is "partial 16S ribosomal RNA". It matches the Rfam family "Bacterial small subunit ribosomal RNA", at positions 28 to 507 of the family's 1533-position model. The record is from RNAcentral.
GACGAACGCUGGCGGCGUGCUUAACACAUGCAAGUCGAACGGAAAGGCCCGGCUUUGGGGGGGUGCUCGAGUGGCGAACGGGGGAGUAACACGUGAGUAACCUGCCCUUGACUGUGGGAGAACUUCAGGAAAGUGGGGCUAAUACCGGAAAGGAGCUCCUGCUGCUGGGUGGGGGUUGGAAAGUUUAGGCGGUUGGGGGUGGACUCGCGGCUUAUCAGCUUGUUGGUUGGGUAGUGGCUGAGCAAGGCUUUGACGCGUGGCCGGCCUGAGCGGGUGACCGGCCACACUGCGCCUGAGAUACGGCCCAGCCUCCUCUGGGACGCAGCGGUGGGGAAGAGUGCAUAAUGGGAUGAAGCAUGAUGUAGCCCCGCAGCGUCGGGGAUGACGGCAUUCGGGUUGUGUACCGAUUCCGCCUGUGACGAAGCGUUAGUGACGGUACUGGGUAAAGAAGCACCGGCUAACUACGUG